Molecule: ribosomal RNA, 251 nt
Filed under: uncultured bacterium
Lineage: Bacteria
Description: partial 16S ribosomal RNA
Rfam family: Bacterial small subunit ribosomal RNA
Source: RNAcentral
UGACGACCGGCGCACGGGUGCGUAACGCGUAUAGAACCUACCUUUUACUGAGGGAUAGCCUUUAGAAAUGAAGAUUAAUACCUCAUAAUUAUUUAGAUAUGGCAUCAUGUUUAAAUGAAAGAUUUAUUGGUAAAAGAUGGCUAUGCGUCCUAUUAGUUAGUUGGUGAGGUAACGGCUCACCAAGACAGCGAUAGGUAGGGGUCCUGAGAGGGAGAUCCCCCACACUGGUACUGAGACACGGACCAGACUCC